CCCGUCUUGAAACACGGACCAAGGAGUCUAACAUGUGCGCGAGUCAUUGGGAUCUGUAAAGCCUAAAGGCGCAAUGAAAGUGAAGGUCGGCCUUGCGCCGACCGAGGGAGGAUGGGUCGCGUCACGAUGCGACCCCGCACUCCCGGGGCGUCUCGUACUCGUUUCGGCGAGUAGAGGCGCACCCAGAGCGUACACGUUGGGACCCGAAAGAUGGUGAACUAUGCCUGGUCAGGACGAAGUCAGGGGAAACCCUGAUGGAGGUCCGUAGCGAUUCUGACGUGCAAAUCGAUCGUCGGAACUGGGUAUAGGGGCGAAAGACUAAUCGAACCAUCUAGUAGCUGGUUCCCUCCGAAGUUUCCCUCAGGAUAGCUGGCACUCAGGCGAACGAGUCUCAUCUGGUAAAGCGAAUGAUUAGAGGCCUUGGGGCCGAAACGACCUCAACCUAUUCUCAAACUUUAAAUGGGUGAGAUCUCUGGCUUGCUCGAACGUUGAAGCCACGAGAUUUACUUAACGGAUCAGAGUGCCAAGUGGGCCAAUUUUGGUAAGCAGAACUGGCGCUGUGGGA
This 565-nucleotide ribosomal RNA is filed under the name Cecinothofagus gallaelenga. Its description in RNAcentral is "eukaryotic LSU rRNA". It matches the Rfam family "Eukaryotic large subunit ribosomal RNA", at positions 648 to 1163 of the family's 3401-position model. Lineage: Eukaryota; Metazoa; Arthropoda; Insecta; Hymenoptera; Paraulacidae. The record is from RNAcentral.